Musca domestica (house fly) is the source of this 3730-nucleotide long non-coding RNA. RefSeq lists it as uncharacterized. The record is from RefSeq and is a predicted model, not a curated record. The transcript is spliced from 2 exons. Lineage: Eukaryota; Metazoa; Arthropoda; Insecta; Diptera; Muscidae.
UUUGUGUCGAAUUUUAUUUUUUUGUGGUAGUGACCUAAUUGUUGACAAUCAAAUUCUUUAUUUUUUAUCUUACUGGUGUUACAUCAACGGUUAGGUAGAUGCUAAUGUAUAACUCAUGAUGAAAUUAUACAGGUACAAUGAGCUGUCAAACAUUUUUGGAAUAUAACAUUUUGAAUGAAAACUUAUCAGAAGGAGGAUCUUGAAACUUUCAGAUGCCGUUGAAAAAGAUAUUUCAGGCAUGAGCAAAAAAAAUUCUCUAAAAUAAGAAGGUUUCUUGGGAAAAACAGUUCGACAAUAUCAAUCAGCUGCAUUUGGAAUUAUCCACAGAACAUGGAAUGGAAGAAGUGGAUGACGAAUUAGAAGAGAUGGAGGAAAAAAUGAAUGCGAAAAUGUGCAAUGUUAUCGAAAAGAUAAUUGCCUUAAAAGAAGCCGCUCCUACAGUGAAAUUAAAAAGAAUACAAAUUCCAUUCUUCGAUGGAAAUGUGGAGGAGUGGAAUUCUUUCCCAGACUUAUUCAAAAAAGCCAUCGGAGGUACAAAAGCUAUACUACCUCAAAGCUAAGCUGAGAUGCGUUUCGUUUGGUGCAGCAUUUGCAAGUUACGGAUGCAAAUUAUAAGGCAGCGUGGGAAUUAUUAGAGAAACGCCCUAAUAAUAAAAAAAUAUUAUUCACGAAACUAAUAAAGUCUUGGAUCAUCCCAAUAUAAAUAGUCAAUCAGUUAUUCGAAAGUUAUUGGACAACGUGACUAAAAGCAAUGGAGAUAUCGCUAGAUCGUGCAGACCCGACUCUAGCAAGAAUUAUAAUAAAAAAACUGGAAAAGGAUGGUUCAAUAUGAGCAAAAUGUAAAAAAAAAAAAACAAAAGAUAUACAAAGUCUGGCGGAUGCGUUGGACUUUCUAGAAUAGCAAUAUCAAGCAUCGUUCCAGUCCCAUACACACAACUCGAUAGACUUGGAGUGACGGAGAGAAGACCAUGCAUUGUAACUUGCAGUUGGGUGAAGGCAGCCCAGUUGAGCCUUAAAUGUCUAAAGCACAGAAAAAAAUACUGCAGCUAUGGUAAAUGCCAGAAAUGUGGAUUGUUUCAUAGUACGGUAAUCCAUCUAGAGAAAACGAGCAACACCAAGGCAAAGACAGUCAAUACAGCUGGAAAUGUUCUCCUGGCUACUGCCCAAGUCCUUGCAUGGAGAAUACAUCACUCUAAGAGGCUUGAUAGAUCAAGGGUAGCAAGUAUCAUCUGUAUCCGAAGAUGCAGCACAACUACUACAGCUGCCUAAAUUGAAGACAGACGUGAUAUUAAGAGGUCUAGGUGAAACCAUGGUGGAUAUUAUUGAUGAUAAGGCCAAGAUUUCUCAGCGAUACCAAAAUCAAAGCAGAGGCACUAGUUCUACCGAAGCUACCAUCAGCACAUCCGGAUAACAACUUCAAAUACAACAUUGGAUUUAGCGAUUCCUAACAUUAAUAAGUCGAUCUGGUAAUUGGGAGUGACCUAUUUCCAUAAAUAUUGGAAGACGGAGUUCGUCACGACGAGGCGAUUGUGACACAAAGUUAAGAUGGAUUCUAUUGGGGACAAUACAAUUGAAGCCAGCAAGGAAUAGCAUAAGGUGUGCUCUUACAACAACAAUUGAGCGUUUUUGGGAGAGAUAGAAUCGAAGAGACAUUCGCAGAAGAUAAUUUUUGACCAAAAUUUUUUUUGAUCGAUGAAUCAUCAAUCACCUAAAAAUAAUCGUAGGCGAUAUGAAGAAAUUAGCACGGUGCUUGCCCCAUUAGAAACGGUUUUAAACUCGAGACCAUUACACGACCCAGAUAGCAGCCCGGAACACAUCGAAACUUUAACACCAGGCCAUUUUAUAAUUGGACGUCCAUUAUUAGAGGCUCCGACAAUAAUCGAAGAAGGAAGCUUAGCAGGCGUUAACAGAUGGAAACAAAUGCUUAGAAUAAAAAAUCACUUCUGGAGAAAAUGGAAUGAUGAAUAUUUGAUGAUCGUACGAAAUGGAUGAAGAAGGAUAGAAAUCUAAAAGUGGGUCAAGUAGUAAUCAUUAAAAAUUAAGAUACACAUUCAGCUCGUUGGCCAUUGGCGAAAGUGACAGAUGUACAACCGGGAAAGGAUGGGGUUGUAAGAGACUGUGAAAACACACGACGGCGAAUUAAAGAUACCAAUAAAUAAAAUAUGACCAUUAGAUCACGCAGAUAAAAUAUCAGAAGAUUACCGAAGCUAAUGCGAAAUACUGUAAUGAUGCUGACCAUGAUUAUGAAUCAUUGUUUGGUAAUGUAGACUAAGGCCUCUUCCGUCCAUCGAUGAAGGAAUGAAAUAACAUCCCAAUUUCACUCUAUACUUUUAAAGAACGUGAGUCAGGCAGGAAAGGAUGUCAUAAAAUCCCUAGGCAAUGUGCUAGUCAAUCAUCAUGAAAAGAUAAACAAACUAAGGAUGCUAGUGGAUGAUUUGAAGAAGGGGAACAUCGAGUUAAGAGAUUACUUGUCCGGACACUUUGCAUUUAUUUAAUAAUAAUAAUAUCAAUAAUUCUCAUAAUUUUAUUUAUAAAAAAUGAUAAUUAGGAAACAUAUUGCUGCUAUACAAUUUCCAGUGGUACCGAAUGUCUAGAUAAUCACCCUUAUUACGGCUGGCGUAGUCGUAUCGAAAAUAGCAAGUAGACGCGUCGUAACGACUAAUUGGUAUUAUGUGUGUCGUAUGCGAGAAAUUACAACUCUGUAUGAAAUUCUGUUACAAUUUUCGUACCACAAGACGCGUUCUAAUUCGACAAACACUGCAAAAUUAGUCGUUAGAGAUUUUGUUGCCGACAACACAGAAAAGUUUUUCCAAAUUGACAUUACAACAGAAUAAUAUACAAAAUGGAUUUGAAUAAGAAAUUUAAAGUCACAACGAAGAAACAAUUUGACGAAAUGAUCCAGAUCUUGCAAAUGAAUCAAAAUUUGGCUAGUUACAACAAUGGCUUGAAAAUAUUAACAUCAAGGAAGAAUGGAACAAAAUUGGUGCAAAACUCAAUAUCCUAGGACCGCGGGUUCGAACAGGCGAGGCUUGUAUGAAAGUCGGGGCCGAAUACAAAUUGAGAAAAAAGCUAGUUCAUAAUAAGGCAGAAUGUCGUGCUACAAGUGGAGGGCCCUUCAAGCAGUUCAUUUUAAGCUACACGGAGGAAGCAGCAUCACGCUUGUUACAAUUAGAAACAAUUGUAAAUGCAGGGAACCAAGCAAUUUGAAUUCAACAGCGUCCAAUACUUGGUGAACUGGAGACUGAGGAGGAACUAUUUGAAGGGUUUAAAAUUAGUGAAGACAAAGAAAACCACAAUCCCUGCACACUGACUCCUCCAAGCGUAAACAGAAGCAGGUUGUGGUCAUCCAGGAUGUCUGUGCGCUUCCCUCUGUAAGCACAAAUAACCCGCAUUAUUUUUCGCCUCACGUUUAAAUCAUUUUGAAUAUACUCAUCUUCAUACUCAGCUAAACAAUUGCCAGGACUUAACAUAUUUCAAUAUUUAAUUAAACAAAUAAUCGUUUUACUUCAACCAUUUCAACUGACGCUUUUAUUUUUUUUAACCGGGUAGCUCGUAAAUUCAAAAAAUGUUUAUUAUUCCAGAGCACCCUGCUUUUUCAUAUCUAUUACAAAAAAGACGUAGUCGAAAAUUGUACAUAAUACCAAACAUUUCUAGUUACGACAACGCCUACGACUACGUCUACGACACUUGAACGCCUACGACAACGCCAACCAUAAUAAGGGUGAUUCAA